ACGAGUCUAGAAGCGAUUCGGUCCCGCCGGGACAUGGCACCAUCCCCGGUGGAGGUGUUUGAACUUCCGGAGGAUGAGGAAAGAUUGAAGGAAAAAGGAGAAGGACACAACAGGAUAAGAGAUGGGAAAAUUCAUGGAUUGUGCGAGUGAAAGUUGUAGCUGGAAUAUCCCCGGCAAAGAAGGAUCUCUUAGGAGCUAGAUUCAUCCUCAACAGCAUUGGCUUCUUUUUGAAGUGUUUGAUGAAAAUCAUUUGGUAAGUU
Molecule: long non-coding RNA, 260 nt
Filed under: Monodelphis domestica (gray short-tailed opossum)
Lineage: Eukaryota; Metazoa; Chordata; Mammalia; Didelphimorphia; Didelphidae
Description: lncRNA (ENSMODG00000045567.1)
Source: RNAcentral